UAUUAUUUGCACUUAAGUAAAGGAUCUAAGUACUUCUUCCAACACAUUUACAGCUGCAGUCUUUUUCUGGGUCAAUCUUAUUUUUCUCAGUUGACUCAUGACACAGUCAGUGUUGUAAUAAUGAUGAUAAAGCAGCUAACAGGCUAAUUGUGUUGAAUUCAAAGUGUGCAGGUCUGUGGUCGGCUCUCUUUCUCUCUCUCUGUAAGAUGAUCAGCUGGAGAUGAACCUUGCUUGACCUCCACUUAACACAGAAGACGGAACGAUGGGAUAUCUUCUCUCUCUUUCUUUUUGUCCAGUAAAUAAAACCUUUAGAAGACUAGAUCUUAUCUGAAGAGCUCAGCAACCAAUCUGAAAUAAAACAGCCCUCAUCUACAUGGUAAAGGACCUAAUAUCUGUAAAUAAAAUGCUGUUUUUAGAUUGUUCGUUUUGAAUAAAGUGUUUAAAAAUGCCCCAAAACAUUUCCGCUUCUGAACAUUUAGGACAUUUGAGAAAGGACACAGGUAGAUUUCUGUGAUGAUACCUGCUUGAUGAUGAGUGUGUGUGUUGGAAUUUUACAGGAAGUAGGGUGAAAGGCUUUGUGAACUACAAAAAUCUAGAUUACAGCUAUGGCAACUGUGAAAGUAUCAUGUUUUACCUGGUGCUGUGAUUUAUAUAACACACAAAAAAACUAUAAAAAGGAAAAACAUGCUAUCUGGCAGGUAGCUCAAACUGAAGUUGCUUAACAACUAAAGGACCUCAGGUUGCUCAAGCUAAAGUAGCUAAAGGAUGCUAGGUAUCUAAGCUGAUUCAACUCAAAGACAUGAGGUUGUAAAGCUAAUAGCUAAAGGACAUAAAGUAGCUAAAGUAACUACAGGACUUCAAGUAACUAAAGCGAUAAAGGACACAAAAUGCUAUAUUGCUAAAGGACACCAGGUAAAGCUGGAGUAGCUGAAGGACCUAAAGCUAACAGGGUAGCUAAAACUGAAACACAUAUUGUGCUAAACUAGCUAAAGGACAAAGGUUGGUGCAUUGUUAUCUUGAGGCAGCAGAAAGCGAUUGCGCUAUUGACCAACAAAAACCUGGUCUGAAGUCAAUAGUGCAGUGUUUCACUGUUAUUUCAAGGAUGCAUUAUCAAGACAGUAUGCGCCUACAUAAGCGGGUGUACAACGUGCGUAACUCUGCUUGUUACCAAGUAGCUAAAGCUGAAGAAGCUAAAGGACAUCAAACCAAUUUUAUGUGUAAAGCUCAAUAUCACAAAUCACAAAUUUUCCUCAGAGACUUUACAGUCUGUACAGCAAUACAACAUCCUCUGUCCUUAGAUCCUCAAUUUUAAUAUGGAAAAACUCCAAAAAAAAAAAAAAAAACCUUUAACGGGAAAAAAUGGAAGAAACCUCAGGAAGAGCAACAGAGGAGAGAUCUCUCUCCCUGGAAGGACAAUCGUGCAAUAGAUGUGUGUACAGAAUAGAACACAAAUUUCAGAAUACAGCAUUGAACGGGAUAACAAAUCAAAUAGCUAAAGCUAAAGAAGCUAAAGGACAUCAGGUAGCUAAAAGUAACAUAGCUAAAUAAAACAGGAAGCUACAUCUAGGUGGCUAAAGGAUUUUAGCUGCUGAAGAUGAAGCAGUUCGAAGACAUAGCUAAUGCUAAAGUAGAUACAGGACACUAAAUGUUUAAGUAGCUAAAGGAUGUACCUAAAGCUACAGUGGGGAAAGGUUACAUAGCAUUGUUGCUAAGCUAAAGUUGCUAAAAAACAUCAGGUAACUAAAGCUAAAGUAGCUGAAGGACUUUAGGUACCUAGAGCUAAUAAGCUAGCUAAGGUAAUAGGACAGUUAAACCUAAGUAGGUAGCUGGAGCUAAGAUAUCUAAAGGACUAAAAGCUAAAUUAAAUACUAAAGUAGGUAAAGGACAUUUGUAGCUAAUGCUUAAGUAGUUAAAGGACAUUAAGGGUGAAAUAGAUAAAGGUCCCCAAAAGCCUAAAGACAGAUGUAGAUAUGAUCUAUAUGUAGAUAAAAUGGUAAGAUGGCUAAAACUAUAGUAGCUAAAGCAGUUAAAGCUAGAGACGCUAAAGUACAUUAGGGAACUAGAACUAAGGUAACUAAGAGUUAUGUAGCUAAAUACAUCAGGUAGCUAAACAACAUCAGUUGGCCACGUCUCGGUGGCUAAAGGAUUUUAGCUGCUAAAGAUGAAGUGGCUCAAAGACAUAGCUAAUGCUAAAGUAGAUAGAGAACACUAGAUGUUUAAUUAGCCAAAAGACAUUAAGCAUGAGCAAUAUAAAGGACACCAAGUGCUUAAAGAUGUCAAGUGCAUUAGGUGGCUAAAGCUUAAGUAGCUAAAGGACACCAGAUAGCUAUCCCGGUGGCUAAAGGAUUUUAGCCUCUAAAGAUUAAGUGGCUCAAAAACAUAGCUAAUGCCAAAGUACAUACAGUUCAAUAAAGCUAACGUAGCUAGGUUACUUCAUCUAAGUACCUAAAAUACAUGUAGGAGCUAAAGCUAAAGUAGCUAAAGGACAUCUGGUAAUUAAAGCUAAAAAAGCUAAAGGACAUAAGGUAAGUAAAGCUAAAGUAGCUAAAAGACAUAAAGGAGCUACAGCUAAAGUAGAUAAAGGACAUAAAGGAGAUGAUGCUAAAGUAGCUAAAGAACAUCAGGUAACUAAUGCUAAUUUAGCUGAAAGACGUUAGGUGGUUAAAGAUAAAGUAGCUGAAGGACAUACAAGAGAUGAAGGUAAAAUACCUAAAGGUGAAGCAGCGCGAUUUAAAGACACAGCUGCUGCUCUGCAGGUUUCUGCUCUAGUUAACCAGACCUGAAAGAGGAGCAGCUCACAGUAUCAGUGUCACUCUGCCUGGAGCGGCUCUCUUCAUCCGGCCUCGCCACUCUGACAUACUGGGACCAGUGCCAGUGCUGGAGGACAUGCUGGUUUUAGCAGCUGGAAGAUGUCCUGACAAGUAUUUUACAGCAACAGAGAAACGAGUCGACAAGGUGACGGCCUGUCAGACGUUCAGAUUUGUCCAUCUUCCACCUGAAGGCGCCUGAAUCCUUGCUGAAUACGCACUGCGAUGACGUAAAUUACUAUGACACGAAAUGGGAAAAUUGGUCCACAUCACAAGCGGUCUGUUGAUUUGAUGUGUUUCUGUUGUUGCUAUUGAUGCUUCAGAUGUUGUGUUGUCAGCGGAAGAGAUGACCGAAGCACCGUCAGCCAUUUCCAAAGCCGCAAGAUAAUCGAUGCAGCAGAUUAUGACCUCAAACAACAGAGAUGAUGGGUAACUGUGGAGCUGAUGAAUAAACAAACAUGAGGCCGAGUGCAUCGUGUAUCUGCUCGAUAUACAAGAUCAGAAUAAUAAUGAUAAUAAAACUUUAUUUAUGUAGCACAUUUCAUAC
This is a long non-coding RNA of Thunnus maccoyii (southern bluefin tuna), 3354 nucleotides long. RefSeq lists it as uncharacterized. Lineage: Eukaryota; Metazoa; Chordata; Actinopteri; Scombriformes; Scombridae. The record is from RefSeq and is a predicted model, not a curated record. The transcript has 3 exons.